GAUGAACGCUGGCGGCGUGCUUAACACAUGCAAGUCGAGCGAGAAGUUUUGAAAAGAUUCUUCGGAUGAAAUUUAAAAUGGAAAGCGGCGGACGGGUGAGUAACGCGUAGGCAACCUGCCCCAUACAAAGGGAUAGCAUUUGGAAACGAAUAUUAAUACCUUAUGAAACUUAACUAGUGCAUGCUAGGUAGGUCAAAGAUUUAUCGGGAUGGGAUGGGCCUGCGUCUGAUUAGCUAGUUGGUGAGGUAACGGCUCACCAAGGCGACGAUCAGUAGCCGACCUGAGAGGGUGAACGGCCACAUUGGAACUGAGACACGGUCCAAACUCCUACGGGAGGCAGCAGUGGGGAAUAUUGCACAAUGGGGGAAACCCUGAUGCAGCAACGCCGCGUGAACGAUGAAGGCCUUUGGGUCGUAAAGUUCUGUUCUAGGUGAUGAAAACUGACAGUAACCUAGGAGAAAGCCCCGGCUAACUCCGUG
This 479-nucleotide ribosomal RNA is filed under the name uncultured bacterium. Its description in RNAcentral is "partial 16S ribosomal RNA". It matches the Rfam family "Bacterial small subunit ribosomal RNA", at positions 28 to 507 of the family's 1533-position model. The record is from RNAcentral.